This is a long non-coding RNA of Neltuma alba, 92 nucleotides long. RefSeq lists it as uncharacterized. The record is from RefSeq and is a predicted model, not a curated record. NCBI's taxonomy places the organism in Eukaryota, Viridiplantae, Streptophyta, Magnoliopsida, Fabales, Fabaceae. The transcript has 3 exons.
UAUACCGGAGAAUGUCAAUACCUCCCACACAUAAAUUAUCCGUCCCACAGAUUAAAAACUGCACAUGAAUAAGAAAGAUUUAUGAACUUCUA